Molecule: long non-coding RNA, 1213 nt
Filed under: Arachis ipaensis
Lineage: Eukaryota; Viridiplantae; Streptophyta; Magnoliopsida; Fabales; Fabaceae
Description: long non-coding RNA (AIPA_LNC000433)
Source: RNAcentral
GACGAUAAUAAUAAUGAUAAUAAAAGAGGAUGAAAAAAAAAGUGAAUAAAUUAAACAACAAUAACAACACCAGUAGGAAUAACAAUAAUAACAACAGUUACAAUAAUAACAACAACGACGACGACCGUAAUGGCAACAAUAAUAAUACUGACGUUAAAGAAAGAAGUGUGAAAUAUAUGUAUGAAAAAAAGAAACACAUGAUGAUUUAGUUGAAAAUACGCCCCUAAGUCUUACAAAAUCAUUAACGGCAUGACAAUGUUGUCCAUCGAAAACAAUUUUCCGGGUGUACUUUGAUGUUUACAAUCUUGUGUGUACUUUAGUCUAUCCCAAAUUCUAUCAAGUGUACUUUUGUCUAUUUACUUUAUACUUUACCAUAUCAAUAUCAAACCGGGUUAAUACUCAAAUUCGUCCCGAAAGAUUACGCGAUAUUCAUUUUCGUCCUCGAAUGAUUUUUUUAAUCAAAUUAGUCCCUGAAAGAUAAAAAAUAAGUCAAAUUAGUCAUUCUGUCAGUUAGGCGAUGAUGUGGCACGUUAAGUGCCACGUGGCAGGUCAACGCCACGGUCAACGCCACGGUCAACGCCACGUGGCAGGUCAACGCCACGUGGCAGGUCAGCGACACGUGGCACGCCACUGACACACGUGUCAGUUGACAUGUAAAAAAGAUUUUUAUAGUCAAAAUAAUCCUUGAAAGUCCAGACGUAAGUCAUUUUCAUCCCUCAAAUUUUAAAAAUUAGUCAAACUAGUUCUUAUAUAAGUUUUUUUUAUUUUUUCUUCAUAAUAUUAUAUUUGAAAUAUUUUUUGAUACUACUAAUUUUAAUAGAAAUGUAAUUGACAAACAAAACAUUAGUAAUUGUAUCUUUUCUUCUUAAAAAUUUUUUCCAAUAAAAUUAUCUCUCUCCUUUAAUUCUUCUCAAAAUUAUUCUUUUCUAUUCUAAAACAUUUUUCUUACAUACAUUUUACUGGAAUAUAUAUAUAUAUACACUCAAAAUUGAAAUGUAUGUAUUUAUUAACCUAAACAAAAUUAUAUGCUCAAAAUCAAAAUUUAUGUAUGUUAACCUAAACAAAGUUAUACCACUAUUUUUUUUCUGCUACAUAUUUGUUUUUCCAUUACGGUAUUACUUACAUAUAGGAUGUAAUGAUAGUGAUACUUAGAGUCAAAAUUUAAGAAGAUCCACAAAUUUUGACUCUAAGUAUUACUAUCAUUACAUUCUAU